RNAcentral lists this long non-coding RNA (5694 nucleotides) under Sus scrofa (pig). RNAcentral describes it as "lncRNA (ENSSSCG00000059496.1)". Lineage: Eukaryota; Metazoa; Chordata; Mammalia; Artiodactyla; Suidae. The record is from RNAcentral.
AUCCCUGGAAAAUAGGCUCCACACCUUAUCCAUUGUUUUUUAUACUGAAGGUCUUGAAGACAAUGAAAAAAUUGCUUUUUGAAAGUAUGAUGGAUACUAGACGCACAGUCCAGUUUCUAGUCUAGGACAAUGGGUCAGUAGGGGUUGAAAGGAGAGAUUAUUGUCCCUGAAACUCAAGAAAACAUUCUAGUUCCAGCAAAAUCCUAGGACGAGUUGAAAAAAAAAAAAAAGUACAUGUAUGUCAAAAUUUACUCAUGAUUAAAAAAUAUAUAUCUUAGCAAAAAAAGAUCUUAGGGAAAAAGGGGAACUACCUCAAUUUAAUAGGAAGUAUCUACAAACUUCCUACAGCUAAUAUCAUGUAAGCUCAUACAUAACAGAGAAAGAUUGAGUGUUUUCCCUCUAAAACUGGGAUCAAGUUGAGGAAGCCUACUCUCACCACUUUUAUAACAUAUGAUACUGGGAAUCAUAGCCACUUCAAUAAGGCAAGAAAAAGAAACAGAAGGCUUACACAGUUAAAAGGAGGAAAUAAAACUGUCCUUAUUUGCAGAUGAUUAUCUAUGGGAUCUAGAAAAAUAUUCUAGAACUAAUAAGUGACUUUAGCACCACCACAGAACAAGGUAGACAAAAUAUGUCACAAUGAGCCACACAUAACAAUAUUAACAAUGAACAUAUAAAAACAAAAAGUUUAAAACACAAUGCCAUUUUCAAUCAUACCAAAAAAAUGAAAUACUUAGAUUUAAAUAUGCUCCAUUGGGAAAAAUCCUGGGGAAUGAUUUUGACUGGUCCAUUUUGUGCCAUGUGUCCUCUCUGAAUAAAAUCCUGUGACUAGAGAAUUGAGUUAUAUGAUUGGUUCAGCCUUGGGUGCGUGCCUAGAGUGUGACUAGGAUAGAGGUGCUAGGGUUGACAACUUUAAGUAGAACUUCAUUUUGAGGUUGGAGAUAAUUCCUCAAAAUAAGAAGGAUACUUUGCUCAGAUUCUAUCUAAUGAAUACAAUGAUAAAUAUUGACUAAAUCACCAUCCCUCAGUUCCCAACAUUACUAUUAUACCUGACACUCAUUUCUCUAGGCUUUGGACCAUUAGAUAUUGGUCCCAGAAAUUAGUGAGUAUAAACUAAGCAGAUGGAGCUGACAGAGAUGUGUACAGGCACCUGGAGGACAUGAAAUAUUCCAUUAAGCAAAUUAAGUUGGAAAGAAAUUGGUUUGGUUGCUGAAUGUGACUGAAAGAUUUAGAAAAAUAAUUGCUUUAUGUUUUAUUUAGCAUUCCUAUCAGUUGGUUUAGUUCAUAAAGGAAACAGGAAAGAGCUCUUGAUAAUAUAAGCAAAAGAGAACUACUGGAAAGAAUAUUGAGGAAUUUACCAUUCUCAUGGAUAUCUGAGGUCCAGGUUUAGAAUUCAGGAGUUAAGUCUGUUGCAGAUGGCUAGCCAGCAGGAAUACAGUAGUUAUCCAGUAUCAGGAAUAGUCUUAUGAGAAUUUUAUGUCUAUCAUUUCUGGCUUCUCAUUCUUCCUACUAUUAAAAUGAAAAACCACAGGACCAAAAUGGCAUCAUUUGUGCUAAAGCCCAUGAUGCCAAACCUAGACUUAAAAUCUGACUUACCUACUGUUUCAACCUUUCCCAGGAAUGUGAUCUUAAUCAACAAAUCUGGAAUUUUCUGGUCAGCACCCAUGAGGUAAUCUGUCCCAGGGGCCCUCUCCAUCCUCCAGAGGAAGAAGAAGAAAUCUACAUCAUACAACCCUGUGGUUCUCUCCUGCUAAAAGAUCUAAAAGAUGCCCUGGUCUAAAAAUAAUGGUUUUCUUUUGCUAAUAGCUCCCCUGCCCCACCCUUAUUCCUAUAAAAACCUUCCAUUUUGUACAUUGCACUCUUCUACUUCCUAGAUAGGAUGCUGCCUGAUUCAAGAAUCACCUAAUAAAUUUAAUUAGAUCUUCAAAUUUACUCAGUCAAAUAUUGUUUUUAACCACUACCACUCUGGGAUCAAAUACAGAAUCCCAAGAGGGAAUGCCUCGUUGCUUGAGUAUCAAUUCUAUGUCCACCCCUGGGUGUACUGGGGUAGAGGAAUGCAUAUCCACCCUCUUGAGCUUUUGCAGAGAAAGUCAUCCUGAAUUAUCCUCCGUAUUCAUUUCUUUUGCUGUAUAAAAAGGUACUACAACCCAAUGGCUUAAAACAACAUCCAGUUCCAUAGCUCAGAAGUCUCAUCAGGCUCCCUGGGUAGCCAACUCAUGGUCUCUCAAGGCCAAAAGCGAGUGGUUGCCAGCCUGGGCUCUUAACUGGAGUCUAUGGGGACAAAUGUGCUUCCAAGAUUAUUCAGGUUGUUGGCUGGCUUCUGUUCCUUGAAGUUGGAUGACUGAGGUUAUCAUUUUCUGGCUGGCUUUCAGUUAAGGGUCACUUUCAGCUCUGAGAGACAACUCUCCAAUUGUUGUAUGUGCCUUUUUCCAUUUUCAGGCCAGCAAUGAUGCAGCCAACCUUUCUCAUAUUUUCAAUCUCUCUGACUCUGACCAAAUGAAGAACAUAGCAGAGGUAGCUUUUAAAGGAAUCCUGUGAUUAGGUUAGACCCUUCUAGGUAAGCCCCCUAUUUUUAAUUUUUUUUUCUCCUUUUACAGCCAUACCUUUGGCAUGUGGAACUUCCCAGGCUAGGGGUCAAAUCUGAAAUGCAGCUGCCUGCCUAAGCCGCAGCCACAGCAACACUGGAUCUGAGCUGCAUCUGUGACCUAUGCUGCAAGUUGAAUCAACACUGGAUCCUUAACCCAUUGAAUGAGGUCAGGGAUCAAACCCGCAUUCUUAUGGUCACUAUGUUGGGUUCCCAGCCACAAUGGAAUUCUUUCCCUAUUUUAAAAUUAAUAGAUAUGUACCUUAAUUAUAUUGGCAAAAACCCUACUGCCAGUAAGAUAACAUAAUCAUGAUAAUAGCACAAGAGGGCCAUCUAAAAUUCUAUAUACUACACCUUUCUAUCCAAAAUAGCUUCAACUUAAAAAGACAAAACAAACAAAAAAACACAAUGUGAGCAUUGUGAGAAGUUUUAUUCAGGGAAAAAUGAGGCAAAUUUAUGACCAUAGGGGGAGCCCUGUGAACUCGAGACUGGCACUUGCCAUCUGCCUCUACAAGGGCAGAAUCAUGAGCCACUACAGCUAUUGACUCUGAAAGAGUUCAGAGUGGAGAUCAGGAGUGAGGCACUCUGUGCUCUGGGAAAACUGGCAGAACUGGUCUUCAAACAGUUAUUUUCAGAAGAUUUUAUUAGUCCAAUUCUUGCAUCUCCUCGUAUCUAGAAAAGCAAUAAAAUCCUUCCUGGUGAUAUCGGUUCCUUGUGACUAGGAACAAACUUCUGUAAAAAAUGUGUGCUUGGUUGCAUGUACCUCCCUUCUUCACCAAAAUCAAUAUAAUCAAUAAAUACUGACAUCACCCCCACAUACUCAAUAUAUACUGACAUCACCCCCCACCUCUUUGAGCGGUUUUUCAAAGCUAUCUGAAAUGCUGCCCCCUGGGCUAUAGUCCUCAUUUUGUGGCCCCCCCCAAUUCAAUUCACAACUCUCACAUUGUGCCUUUUUUUAAAGUUGACAAUAGAUACAAGGGUAAAGAGAAAAUGCUGUCAAAGAGUAUUAAUGUCUGUUAGGAAGGGAAAUUUCCUGAACAGCCUAAACAAACAAGUAAUUAAAAACAUUAAAUGUCCACUUCAAUGUCUAAACUUUAUUUUUUGAAGGACUGAUGUGCAGAAACAUAAACAUUUGGACAUGUGUUUUGCAACAAUAAUAAAAAAUACAAUAAUAAGUAUUGCUCUUGGAUUGGUAUGCAAAGUGAUUUAACACAUGAGAAUCCCAAGGGACGUGGUACUGAUGUAAAGGACCACUGAACAAGGAGUCAGAUAACCUGGAUUCAAUUAUCUGCUCCAAUAGCAAUGCACUCUAUAACCUUGAAUAAAUUACUGACUUCUCCAGAACUGUUUCUUGAACUUUAAAUAAGACAAUUGGGCUAAAUUAUCUCUAGGAGUCUUUCUAACAUUACAUUAUGCUGUAAAGUUCUUACGACUCAAAAUUUAGGUGUGGGAUGCUCUGUGCUUUACCAAUUAAAUUAAAAUAUAUACAUAUAUACUUAGCUAAUGCUAGAAAAGUUACAAUGAAAUUGGCACAUACACAGUUCUGGAACUGGUGUAAAUUCUGUUAUCUCUCUGGGAAAUAAUUUUGUAUAAUAAAUCCAAAACUUAAAAGUAUUGCUAUGGAUUGCUAGGAAUAUACUUUACCAUACUGUAUACAAAUAAAAUAGUCAAUUACUUCAAGUCUGCAUUCACUGAAAGAUGUUCACUGUGGCAUUGUUUACAAUAAAGGAAAUAUGAAUAUUAUAUAAAUCAUACUUCUAAAAGAAGAACAAUUAUUUAACUUAUAAAAUAUUAAUGAAUGUGAUACAGACUUGACAAACUGUCUUAAGAUCUGCCUUGCAAUCUGAAAUAUGAUUAGGGAACAAUAUGAUAAGUAUAUGAAUUGCAAGUUUUUAAAAAUACAUAUGCUUCUAUGUACAUUUUGGAGGCAGGCACAUAAAAUUCAAGUGUAUUUUUUUCAUCUUUUUUUAAUUUUAAUUUUUUUGCUUUUUAGGACCACAUCCAAGGCAUAUGUAGGUUCCUGGGCUAGAGGUCCAAUCGGAGCUACAACUGCCACUCUACACUACAGCCACAGCAAUGUGAGAUCCAAGCCGCAUCUGCAACCUACACCACAACUCAUGGCAACGCCAGAUCCCUAACCCACUGAGUGAGGCCAGGGAUCGAAUCCACGUCCUCGUGGAUACUAGUCAGGUUUGUUGCUGCUCUGCCAUGAUGGGAACUCUGGUAAGAAAUAUCUUAAUGUUCCCCAAUAAGUGUACCCUACCUAGAAAAUAAUGUCUUCUACUUUCCAUUGUCAAAGAUGUUUACUCAUCAAUAGAUGGAACUUACUGCCAGAAAUCAAUUAGUGGAUUUAAGACAUUCUUAGUGUGAAAACUAUGACAUUUGGAGGAGAGGAGCUGCAAGUUGACUGGGGACAAGUUCUGAGACAAUUUGGAAUGGUAUCUUGAUAUUGUAGCAUUUUACUUUUCCAAUUUUCUAAUAUUUGCUAUAGUGCAUUCUGUUCCAGUUUGGCCCAUAUUACUUUUGCUUAUAGCUUCUGGGUCCCUCUCUAAGCUGUGCUAAACAUCUAGACCCUGAAUUCUGCAUUUAUCCACAGCUUCUUACUUUCUGUCUUGGGUUUGCUCUCCUGAAGUAUCUCUAGUCAUUUGCCUCUAGCAAUAGCCCUCAGUUCUGAAAGACUCUCACCAUUGAUCCUCUUUCAAACCCAGGCUGCACUCAAUGCGAAUAAAGAGAAUUGUAUUGGGAGUUGCCGAAUUAUGUAGCUGUUACCAGCCAAGUCAAGUGAGCCAAGGUCAAGAUCCUGAGAUCAGAGUGAAAAAUGACUAUCAGGAAUUACCUGCUCAGUGACCAGAUCUGAAGUUACUAAAAGAAGGAGCCAUGUAAGAAUUAGCCAAGAGGCCACUCUUGGGAAUGAAAUGAUGAAGAGGACAGCAGAUAGUUCAGGACUAAGUGUUUGUUUAGUAUCCUUUGGAGGAUUCAAAUUCCUGAUAAAUAGGUCCUAACAUAUCACAAAGCUGAAAAGAGCAUUCUAAAAGGGCUUAAGACAGGUGAAUGAACCCUGCAGUGAAGCAUGGUACCCUAGGAAAUAGAAUUCUCUGCAAAUAUUAUCAGAU